This 497-nucleotide ribosomal RNA is filed under the name uncultured bacterium. RNAcentral describes it as "partial 16S ribosomal RNA". It matches the Rfam family "Bacterial small subunit ribosomal RNA", at positions 28 to 507 of the family's 1533-position model. The record is from RNAcentral.
GAUGAACGCUGGCGGCGUGCCUAAUACAUGCAAGUCGAGCGAACGGACGAGAAGCUUGCUUCUCUGAUGUUAGCGGCGGACGGGUGAGUAACACGUGGAUAACCUACCUAUAAGACUGGGAUAACUUCGGGAAACCGGAGCUAAUACCGGAUGAUAUUUUGAACCGCAUGGUUCAAAAGUGAAAGACGGUCUUGCUGUCACUUAUAGAUGGAUCCGCGCUGCAUUAGCUAGUUGGUAAGGUAACGGCUUACCAAGGCAACGAUGCAUAGCCGACCUGAGAGGAUGAUCGGCCACACUGGAACUGAGACACGGUCCAGACUCCUACGGGAGGCAGCAGUAGGGAAUCUUCCGCAAUGGGCGAAAGCCUGACGGAGCAACGCCGCGUGAGGGAUGAAGGUCUUCGGAUCGUAAAACUCUGUUAUUAGGGAAGAAAAUAUGUGUAAGUAACUGUGCACAUCUUGACGGUACCUAAUCAGAAAGCCACGGCUAACUACGUG